GACGAACGCUGGCGGCGCGCUUAACACAUGCAAGUCGAGCGAUGAAAUUUCGACAGAUCCCUUCGGGGUGAAGAUGAAAUGGAUUAGCGGCGGACGGGUGAGUAACACGUGAGUAACCUGCCUUUGACAUUGGGAUAGCCUCGGGAAACUGGGAUUAAUACCAAAUGACACUAACUGAUAACAUGAUCAAUUAGUCAAAGAAAUUCGGUCAAAGAUGGACUCGCGGCUGAUUAGCUAGUUGGUGAGGUAACGGCCCACCAAGGCGACGAUCAGUAGCCGGCCUGAGAGGGUGAUCGGCCACAUUGGAACUGAGACACGGUCCAAACUCCUACGGGAGGCAGCAGUGGGGAAUAUUGCACAAUGGGGGAAACCCUGAUGCAGCGACGCCGCGUGAGCGAAGAAGGCCUUCGGGUCGUAAAGCUCUUUUAUGAGGGAAGAUAAUGACGGUACCUCAAGAAAAAGCCCCGGCUAACUACGUG
Molecule: ribosomal RNA, 479 nt
Filed under: uncultured bacterium
Lineage: Bacteria
Description: partial 16S ribosomal RNA
Rfam family: Bacterial small subunit ribosomal RNA
Source: RNAcentral